RNAcentral lists this unclassified non-coding RNA (1518 nucleotides) under Rhodotorula toruloides. The record is from RNAcentral. Lineage: Eukaryota; Fungi; Basidiomycota; Microbotryomycetes; Sporidiobolales; Sporidiobolaceae.
GUCAAACGAGGCGUUACUCGCUUUGUAGGGGCCUAGAGAACGACUCGAGCGGUGUCCUCCGCCGAGGUUUGUCCGCUCAACUCCAAAACUGGCGACCUCCCGCGCUCCCUUUACUCCCAGCCCCAACCCAGCAACUCUCUGCCGCUCCAUAAUGGCCAGGUCGUCGCAGCUUGUCGGGCCGAAUCGCCUCCCUCCGCCUCACUCCCUCAUUCCGCCCAGACCUCGUUGCCGCCGCCAACAUUCUACGCCUGAGCUGCAUUUCGUCUUGCCGCACGUUCCACCGUCCGUACCUGCGAGUAGCGAUAACUCAGGAUCGACCAAGCCUUGAGGUUGGUAGGGAAUGAGGACGAAUGAGGAUCGGGUGGACGAGGCAAGGCGCGAAUAUUUGUCGUUUCGUGUACGGCGAGAACGGCGGGCAGCCUGAGGGUAGGCGAGGUUCGAGAGAUGAUGCAAGGUCGGCGAAGCUGGUUGGGGAAAGACAGCGAAGAAGGUGGGGGAGGAGAAGGGGGAGAUUGCUUGACCGGCGGUCUGGAGGUUGGCGAAAGUCCUGGCGGCAGUCGGGUGACGCGCCUCUGAUCUAGGAAGAGUGUGAGUAGGCGGUUCAAUCUAGCUCGCAGAACGAGAGAAAGGGAGAAGUCGGCAAGGACGUCGAGGAGGAAGAGGUAGCGAGUUGAGAAAGCGCAGAUCCGAUUUUACCGGGUGAAUGCAACGUCGAUGGCGACGUGAAGAGGUCAGGAUGAGGGCGAGAGGCGCUUGAAGUCGUCGCACCGUCUUGAAAGAUCCGCCUGUCGUCGAGCGAGGAGGGUGAGCAGCAGACCUGCUCGCUCGCAAGUGACCGUUUCGGGCGAGUUGGACCGAGGGUCGCUCCUCCAGCCAUGCUGGAGGUCGUAGAAGGGCGCGGGGACCGAAAGAAUGGAGGGAGGAGGCGAGGGAACAGAAACCCGAGCGGUCAGAAUAGCAAGAAGGCGCGGCUGGAUACGGCGCAAGGGUCCGCGAAGUCGGCGUGGACGGGUCUGAGCAAGGUGUAGUUUGCCUCAGACGAGCGAGCGCGGUCCCACAAGCGGUGGUAGGCGUGCCAUCCGUCGUCGAACCGAGUCCGACUCGCCUGGGCCGCCUCGUCUUCUCGCUCGCUCUCCUUCAUCCUUGUCCUACUUCCUCCGCACGAUCCGCUGCCCUAGUCCACACUCGCUGCGACCGGCGCACAACCAACCGACCCGCUUCACCACCCUCCUCCGCACGCCUGUUGAAAGCGCCAGAUGUUCGGAGCCGGCAGACCUGGCACGACGGGCGGACGGCAGGGAGCGGCGCAGGGUCGCGCAGAGUGAGUCGCCGUGUUCUGUUACUGUCUGAGUGCUCCUCACUCGUCUCGGCGAGCCCUCGGGUGGAUGGAUGAUAUCGCGGUGAGGACUGGCUGGGGCGUGGCGGGUGCGGGUGCGGGUGGGCGUGAGGCGGGCUGUGACUGGGUCUGGUACGGUUCCGAGCGAAUCAGAGGUUGUAGGAUGGUCGAAGUCAGCGCUU